Molecule: ribosomal RNA, 253 nt
Filed under: uncultured bacterium
Lineage: Bacteria
Description: partial 16S ribosomal RNA
Rfam family: Bacterial small subunit ribosomal RNA
Source: RNAcentral
UACAGAGGUCUCAAGCGUUGUUCGGAUUCAUUGGGCGUAAAGGGCGCGUAGGUGGCGCCGUAAGUCGGGUGUGAAAUUUCGGAGCUUAACUCCGAAACUGCAUUCGAUACUGCGGUGCUUGAGGACUGGAGAGGAGACUGGAAUUCAUGGUGUAGCAGUGAAAUGCGUAGAGAUCAUGAGGAAGACCAGUGGCGAAGGCGGGUCUCUGGACAGUUCCUGACACUGAGGCACGAAGGCCAGGGGAGCAAACGGG